Non-coding RNA from Stegodyphus mimosarum, 74 nucleotides. NCBI's taxonomy places the organism in Eukaryota, Metazoa, Arthropoda, Arachnida, Araneae, Eresidae. The record is from Rfam.
GCCUUCGUGGUGUAGUGGUCAGCACGCUCGACGCGUAUUCGAUAGGUCCGUGGUUCAAGUCCCAGCGAGAGGCU